RNAcentral lists this ribosomal RNA (253 nucleotides) under uncultured bacterium. RNAcentral describes it as "partial 16S ribosomal RNA". It matches the Rfam family "Bacterial small subunit ribosomal RNA", at positions 524 to 776 of the family's 1533-position model. The record is from RNAcentral.
GACGUAGGGGGCGAGCGUUGUCCGGAUUUAUUGGGCGUAAAGAGCUCGUAGGCGGCUCGUUGCGUCGGCUGUGAAAACCCGCAGCUCAACUGUGGGCUUGCAGCCGAUACGGGCGGGCUGGAGUUCGGUAGGGGAGACUGGAAUUCCUGGUGUAGCGGUGAAAUGCGCAGAUAUCAGGAAGAACACCAACGGCGAAGGCAGCUCGCUGGGACGGUACUGACGCUGAGACGCGAAAGCGUGGGGAGCGAACAGG